This is a long non-coding RNA of Oncorhynchus keta (chum salmon), 1602 nucleotides long. RefSeq lists it as uncharacterized. The transcript has 2 exons. NCBI's taxonomy places the organism in Eukaryota, Metazoa, Chordata, Actinopteri, Salmoniformes, Salmonidae. The record is from RefSeq and is a predicted model, not a curated record.
CUCAAGGGAGAGGCAUCAUCUCUGCAUAUCCUCAUCUUGCCCACUCUACCCGCUUGCCGAGAAUCUUAAGAGAAACGCCUAGAAACUAGGAAAGCAGAUCCCAUCAGGUUUUCCACUUUCCUCAUCCCAGAUUCCAUGUCAGUGCCAGGGAAGCCCACGUGAGUUCAAUGCACACUAUGUGGCUGUUCCUAUACUAUUGCAGCCACACUUACCUCUCAGAACACAUGACCAAAUGGUGUUCAAAUUAUUACCUCAAAUCAAUUAGGUUUAGUUGACAUUAAGGGGUCUUCUGGAAAUCAAGCAAAUUAAUAGAAUGUUUUAAAUACAUAUCCCCCAUAAUUGACACACACCAACACAGUUUAAAAUGCAGGCAGACAUGCUGACACUGAUGUCAUAUAAAAAACUCCUUUGGCAUAGGACUAACUAUCGAGGCAUGCUGGUAUGCAUGAUAAGGCCCACAGAAUGGCAUGGCUGGGCUUAUCAUGUGUGGCCAAGCCCGGUUCCCCUUCUCCUAUCGCUGGGCCCACUGGCACAGGAAAGACUCGUCCCCCUUAUCUUCCCCCAGCUGAAGAAAUAACACUUGACUAUUGCCCUCUCUGUAGCUCCCCUGCUCAGAAGAUUCAGAUGGCCUCCAUUUCUCUACUUAUUUUACUUCAUGGGAAAAGGGUUCUGAAAACACUGUCUGGCCCAUCUCAGGUGUUCUGGGAAACAAUUUGAUUGAGAGAGUCCCAAAAAGUUUCAGUUUGUUAAUGUAUUAACAUUUGUUUUGAAAAUUCAGCUGAUUUUGGUCAUACUUUUUGGUCUCCAACAGCACUUGAGUUUAUUUAUGAUUAGUUUUAGUCAGCAUAGUCAGCCAAAUUUCUUUAUAUUACACAUCAGCAUGUCUUAUUAUUUAAUCAUGUGUGCUGUGUAUUGUUUACAACGAUUGCUUUUCACUUAGUUCCUUACAUUCUCACGCGUGAAAUCGAAUUGAAUCGCAAGGACCAUUUUGCUUGCCCGUAUGAUGUGCUUUUCCCCCACAGAUUUGCAUGGGCUAAAGUGACAUUGAAACAGCUGUUGCCAAUUCCCUAUGACCUCUUCCCUCCCCAAAUGAAUUGCUGAACUCGCCCCAGAACUAGAGUUAGAAGGAACUGGAAGUUGUCCUUAGCACGGCCUUCGGACAGGGGACCUCUCGACCAAAGGACAUCCACCUUGUUUCUGCUGCUCCUCUCCGCUGUUCACCUAAUGUGGGAAAAGGACACAAAUCACAACGCUAUCAACAGAAUUACUAAAGACACGGGGGACACGCCAAACGCAUCUGCAUGAUGCUACACCCAAUGCUACAACCCAGCAGGCCCAGCAUAGCGCGAGAGGCAGCCCAGCAAGCAGACAUCACAGCUGAACCCUGCUCGGGUAGAGCCAAAGGAAAGAACACUGCUCGGAAAGAGCCGAACGAAAAAUCAAACAUUGACCUCCAUGAGUGAAUCAACUGCUGUGUUAGUUUGCCCCGGUGCUCAUAGUUCGCCUUUAGCCUAAAUCCUAGCCCUUUUAUUUUUCCAAUAGGGCCGUAGUGAUCGUGUGUAUUGUCAAAACUGAAUUUAUCAUAAAGAACCUUUGAUUGUA